RNAcentral lists this long non-coding RNA (451 nucleotides) under Rattus norvegicus (Norway rat). RNAcentral describes it as "long non-coding RNA NONRATT015293". Lineage: Eukaryota; Metazoa; Chordata; Mammalia; Rodentia; Muridae. The record is from RNAcentral.
CCUGCAUCUCAUUCAGCCCGCUCCCCGAGCAGCCUUAGCCAUCCCUAACUAAUCCAACUGCUUCCCAGUCUGCGGGUGCUGGGCUCGGUGCUGAGAAGAGGCUCUGGCUCUUGGCUAUUGUCAGGUCAAACACUAAGACUGUGUCCAUGUUAGAACUCAUAGAAGUUAAUGGAACCCCUGGCAGUCAGCUCUCCACUCCGCGCUCCGGCAAGUCACCAAGUCCAUCGCCCACCAGCCCAGGAAGCCUGCGGAAGCAGAGGAUCUCUCAGCAUGGCGGCUCCUCCACUUCACUUUCAUCCACAAAAGUCUGCAGCUCAAUGGAUGAGAACGAUGGCCCUGGGGAAGAAGAGUCCGACGAAGGUUUCCAGAUUCCUGCCACAAUAACAGAGAGAUACAAAGUCGGGAGAACAAUAGGAGAUGGAAAUUUCGCUGUUGUCAAGGAAUGUAUAGA